CCUACGGGAGGCAGCAGUAAGGAAUAUUGGACAAUGCCCGCAAGGGUGAUCCAGCCAUGCCGCGUGCAGGAAGACGGCCCUAUGGGUUGUAAACUGCUUUUACACCGGAGAAAACCCCUUUUCGUGAAGAGGGCUGAUAGUAUGGUGAGAAUAAGCAUCGGCUAACUUCGUGCCAGCAGCCGCGGUAAUACGGAGGAUCCAAGCGUUAUCCGGAAUCAUUGGGUUUAAAGGGUCCGUAGGCGGCCUUAUAAGUCAGUGGUGAAAUCUUCUAGCUCAACUAGAAAAUGGCCAUUGAUACUGUAGGGCUUGAAUUAUUGUGAAGUAACUAGAAUAUGUAGUGUAGCGGUGAAAUGCUUAGAUAUUACAUGGAAUACCAAUUGCGAAGGCAGGUUACUAACAAUACAUUGACGCUGAUGGACGAAAGCGUGGGGAGCGAACAGGAUUAGAUACCCUGGUAGUCCACGCCGUAAACGAUGGAUACUAGCUGUUUGGAGCAAUCUGAGUGGCUAAGCGAAAGUGAUAAGUAUCCCACCUGGGGAGUACGAACGCAAGUUUGAAACUCAAAUGAAUUGACG
Molecule: ribosomal RNA, 575 nt
Filed under: uncultured bacterium
Lineage: Bacteria
Description: bacterial SSU rRNA
Rfam family: Bacterial small subunit ribosomal RNA
Source: RNAcentral